CCUACGGGCGGCAGCAGUGGGGAAUAUUGGACAAUGGGGGCAACCCUGAUCCAGCCAUGCCGCGUGUGUGAAGAAGGCCCUCGGGUUGUAAAGCACUUUCAGUGAGGAAGAACGCCUGGUGGUUAAUACCCAUCAGGAAAGACAUCACUCACAGAAGAAGCACCGGCUAACUCCGUGCCAGCAGCCGCGGUAAUACGGAGGGUGCGAGCGUUAAUCGGAAUUACUGGGCGUAAAGCGCGCGUAGGUGGCUUGAUAAGCCGGUUGUGAAAGCCCCGGGCUCAACCUGGGAACGGCAUCCGGAACUGUCAAGCUAGAGUGCAGGAGAGGAAGGUAGAAUUCCCGGUGUAGCGGUGAAAUGCGUAGAGAUCGGGAGGAAUACCAGUGGCGAAGGCGGCCUUCUGGACUGACACUGACACUGAGGUGCGAAAGCGUGGGUAGCAAACAGGAAUAGAUACCCCUGUAGUC
RNAcentral lists this ribosomal RNA (465 nucleotides) under Vreelandella stevensii. Its description in RNAcentral is "partial 16S ribosomal RNA". It matches the Rfam family "Bacterial small subunit ribosomal RNA", at positions 338 to 795 of the family's 1533-position model. Lineage: Bacteria; Pseudomonadati; Pseudomonadota; Gammaproteobacteria; Oceanospirillales; Halomonadaceae. The record is from RNAcentral.